CGACCACCAAAGCGGUCUCCACGGUGAGAAGGGGGAAAUGACGAAGUGAAGAAUCGCAGAGGCGGCUCUCCUCUUUGUCCUCCUCGGUGGCGACGAGCGCGAUUUGGUGAUCAAGUUUCACCAGGAAUCAAACUAAUGGUACUAACAUCAUGGAGUAGUUUCCACAGCAUGGAGUAGUUUCACCAGGAAUGCAUGGCCUGAAGAAUGUAUGGGGAUCAAUGCGUGCAGUAGUUUCCACAGCAUGUGAGCUCAUGGUACUAACAUCAAAAGGAGCCGCUGAUGAGAAUAUUGUAGAGCAAAGACUGCUCAAGGAGCUGUGCAAACAUGGCUUUUAAUAAAAUUGACUCGGAUAGGGAGUUUUCUUGGGCUAAAAGAUUAUGACCUGUAGCAGUC
Long non-coding RNA from Musa acuminata AAA Group (dessert banana), 393 nucleotides. RefSeq lists it as uncharacterized. The record is from RefSeq and is a predicted model, not a curated record. Lineage: Eukaryota; Viridiplantae; Streptophyta; Magnoliopsida; Zingiberales; Musaceae. The transcript has 2 exons.